GCGCCGGAAGCGGGCGGCGCGGGGGCGGCGCAAGGCCCGGGGCGGCGGGGGGCGCGACAGGGCCGGAGGGGGGGGAUGAACCCCAACGGGCAGCGCAGGGCGUGAAACGAGCGUGCUGCGCCGGCAGCGUGAGUUCGCUGCGUGACCUGGCACGCGCCGUUGCGAAGGGCCCCGCAUCAGCGAGGCUGACGGCAGCGCCGUCCCUCGCGGCCUGGAGGAACCGCCGGGGAUCGGUUCCCGCCUCGCUCAUUAGAACUGAAGAAAGCAAUGUCUGCUCCUGCAGCUGGAAAAACAGAAGUCUAGAACUGUUGUGAGGAAGUGUGGGAGAAAAAGGCACAGAUAUAUGAAUACAUCUCAGUUUUAUGAAAAUUUAAUUUAAAUUUUGCUUCUGUAUAGAGCCAAAAACAGUGAAAAACUGUCAGCAUAUACAGAGCAUCUUUUCUUCUUUCACGUUGUAUUUACAUUAUAAGGAGAAAUACAGAAAGUCAUGUGACUCAUAAUAUAUUAUGCUUAUGUC
Long non-coding RNA from Dromaius novaehollandiae (emu), 517 nucleotides. RefSeq lists it as uncharacterized. The record is from RefSeq and is a predicted model, not a curated record. The transcript is spliced from 2 exons. NCBI's taxonomy places the organism in Eukaryota, Metazoa, Chordata, Aves, Casuariiformes, Dromaiidae.